Molecule: ribosomal RNA, 493 nt
Filed under: uncultured bacterium
Lineage: Bacteria
Description: SSU rRNA
Rfam family: Bacterial small subunit ribosomal RNA
Source: RNAcentral
AGGAUGAACGCUAGCGGCAGGCCUAAUACAUGCAAGUCGAACGGUGGGUAGCAAUACUCAUAGUGGCGCACGGGUGCGUAACACGUAACUAACCUACCUAUAACUGGGGGAUAGCCCGCCGAAAGGCGGAUUAAUACCGCAUAAGCUAGUUGACUCGGCAUCGGGUUAUUAGUAAAGAUUUAUUGGUUAUAGAUGGGGUUGCGGGUCAUUAGCUAGUUGGUUGGGUAACGGCUGACCAAGGCGACGAUGACUAGGGGAGCUGAGAGGCUGGUCCCCCACACGGGCACUGAGAUACGGGCCCGACUCCUACGGGAGGCAGCAGUAGGGAAUAUUGGGCAAUGGACGAGAGUCUGACCCAGCCAUGCCGCGUGCAGGAAGAAGGCUUUCUGAGUCGUAAACUGCUUUUGACAGGGACGAAUAAGCUGGUCGUGACCAGUGAUGACGGUACCUGCAGAAUAAGCACCGGCUAACUCCGCGCCAGCAGCCGCGGUAA